Long non-coding RNA from Herpailurus yagouaroundi (jaguarundi), 891 nucleotides. RefSeq lists it as uncharacterized. The transcript is spliced from 2 exons. The record is from RefSeq and is a predicted model, not a curated record. NCBI's taxonomy places the organism in Eukaryota, Metazoa, Chordata, Mammalia, Carnivora, Felidae.
ACUCGAAGAGGUGGUUGGCACAGUCGGGGCUACAGACGGGCCGCAUCAGUGGAGGGACAGGUCGCAUGCACUGGCUGGGGCCACAGGCCAGUCGGCGUGAGCUUGGGCCCAUUCCCUCAGCACCUGCCCGGUCCUACUGAAGAAGCCCCUUGGCUCCUCAGGGCACUUGCCAGCUCUUGGGGGCCCAGGGCCUGGACCCUUGAAGUCAAGUGGACAACCGCCAAAGCAACAGCGUCGGCAGCAGGAGCUCUUUGGCACCACCGGGGGCACGCACAGGCUUCGAAGGGCCUGGGGCAGCCCACGCGGUCAGGAGCGGCUUCAGCAACCCAGGGAAUCCAGGCUUCCUGGCCGGGACCAGACCCUUGAUGUGACCAGGGCUCGGUGUGGCCUCGGCUCCAGAAUGAUCUAGGGGGGAUCGGAGGGAAGAGGAGCACUCCCCAGAAGGAAAGGUGCUGCGCUCUCAUCAGAACGCAGGAGGGAAGGGAUCCUGAGCCGAAACAAACAACAGCCACCCUCAGAUGCACCCCUGAACCUGCUGGAAAAGAAAGAUAACCCGCAGCCCAGGAUGAAGUCACCGUUCUAGCCGGCAAAGAAAAAGCCCUCUUCUGGCACCCGGUUGUGGGAGCAGCACACGCAGGACAGGAAGCGACCCGGACACGCCUGAAGAAGAAAACCGUUCGCCAUCCGUAUUGAUGAUUUAUAGAGUAACACCCGUUGUCCACCUGGCCUUUGGUCGGACCCUAGCCUAGAUUCCCGAAGCAACAGUGCCCUGGGCCCCUUUCCAGUGUGAGCCCCUCACCCCACGCGACGGGGAGAACCCCUCUCCUUCCCGGGUCCCCCAGACGCUUCGCGGCUACCGUCUACCUCUGCUCAAUGCACCGUUUGCACUUC